CUUGAAGAGGAGAAAAAACAGGUACAUGACAAGUUAGAGCUCAAGCAAGAGACAUUAUUCCUUGCUGUUAAUUCGUUAGACAGAUUUCUGGAAAAACAAGUUGCCAAAAACAAGCUGCAGCUUGUUUGUCUUGUUACCUUUCUAAUAGCGAGCAAAUAUGAAGAAAUUUUGCCUCUUGUGCACGGAUUGUGAUUAUUUCAUAUGAAAUCUUCACAAGAAAAGACAUUCUUGAAAUGGAAAAUGCCAGUAAUUGAAUUUGAGUUGUGGACAAAAGUAAUCUCGAUCUAUU
RNAcentral lists this unclassified non-coding RNA (289 nucleotides) under Hevea brasiliensis (rubber tree). The record is from RNAcentral. Lineage: Eukaryota; Viridiplantae; Streptophyta; Magnoliopsida; Malpighiales; Euphorbiaceae.